Molecule: ribosomal RNA, 23 nt
Filed under: Oidiodendron griseum
Lineage: Eukaryota; Fungi; Ascomycota; Leotiomycetes; Myxotrichaceae
Also listed under: 2 other names
Description: partial 18S ribosomal RNA
Source: RNAcentral
UCUCCGUAGGUGAACCUGCGGAG